GAUGAACGCUGGCGGCGUGCUUAACACAUGCAAGUCGAACGGUGAAGCCAAGCUUGCUUGGUGGAUCAGUGGCGAACGGGUGAGUAACACGUGAGCAACCUGCCCUGGACUCUGGGAUAAGCGCUGGAAACGGCGUCUAAUACUGGAUAUGAGCCUCUUCCGCAUGGUGGGGGUUGGAAAGAUUUUUUGGUCUGGGAUGGGCUCGCGGCCUAUCAGCUUGUUGGUGAGGUAAUGGCUCACCAAGGCGUCGACGGGUAGCCGGCCUGAGAGGGUGACCGGCCACACUGGGACUGAGACACGACCCAGACUCCUACGGGAGGCAGCAGUGGGGAAUAUUGCACAAUGGGCGAAAGCCUGAUGCAGCAACGCCGCGUGAGGGAUGACGGCCUUCGGGUUGUAAACCUCUUUUAGCAGGGAAGAAGCGAAAGUGACGGUACCUGCAGAAAAAGCGCCGGCUAACUACGUG
RNAcentral lists this ribosomal RNA (466 nucleotides) under uncultured bacterium. RNAcentral describes it as "partial 16S ribosomal RNA". It matches the Rfam family "Bacterial small subunit ribosomal RNA", at positions 28 to 507 of the family's 1533-position model. The record is from RNAcentral.